CGCAAGCCUGACGGAGCAAGACCGCGUGAGGGAGGAAGGCUCUUGGGUUGUAAACCUCUUUUAUCAGGGAAGAAGACAGUGACGGUACCUGAUGAAUCAGCAUCGGCUAACUCCGUGCCAGCAGCCGCGGUAAUACGGAGGAUGCAAGCGUUAUCCGGAUUUAUUGGGCGUAAAGCGUCCGCAGGUGGUUGUUCAAGUCUGCUGUUAAAGCGCGAGGCUUAACCUCGUACAGGCAGUGGAAACUGAGCGACUCGAGUAUGGUAGGGGUAGCGGGAAUUCCCAGUGUAGCGGUGAAAUGCGUAGAUAUUGGGAAGAACACCAGCGGCGAAAGCGCGCUACUGGGCCAUUACUGACACUCAUGGACGAAAGCUAGGGGAGCG
Molecule: ribosomal RNA, 380 nt
Filed under: Leptolyngbya sp. CCMEE 6125
Lineage: Bacteria; Bacillati; Cyanobacteriota; Cyanophyceae; Leptolyngbyales; Leptolyngbyaceae
Description: bacterial SSU rRNA
Rfam family: Bacterial small subunit ribosomal RNA
Source: RNAcentral